Molecule: ribosomal RNA, 550 nt
Filed under: uncultured marine ciliate
Lineage: Eukaryota; Ciliophora
Description: SSU rRNA
Rfam family: Eukaryotic small subunit ribosomal RNA
Source: RNAcentral
CCGNUUCGGGGAGGUAGUGACAAGAAAUAGCAAACUGGUUGAUUUUCAACACAGUAUUGCAAUGAGANCAAUGUAAAUGCUUUAUCGAUUAACAAUUGGAGGGCAAGUCUGGUGCCAGCUGCCGCGGUAAUUCCAGCUCCAAUAGCGUAUAUUAAAGUUGUUGCAGUUAAAAAGCUCGUAGUUGAACUUCUGUACAUUUUCAGUUCUGGCUUUGGUCAAGCUGUUAAGUGUACAUCCGCUUGCAAACUUAGACCGGCCUUCACUGGUCGACUAAGGGAGUAAGCCCUUUACUUUGAAAAAAUUAGAGUGUUUCAGGCAGGCUUUGGCUCGAAUACAUCAGCAUGGAAUAAUGGAAUAGGACUUUUGUCCAUUUGGUUGGUUAUUGGACAUAAGUAAUGAUUAAAAGGGACAGUUGGGGGCAUUAGUAUUUAAUUGUCAGAGGUGAAAUUCUUGGAUUUAUUAAAGACUAACUUAUGCGAAAGCAUUUGCCAAGGAUGUUUUCAUUAAUCAAGAANGAAAGUUAGGGGAUCAAAGACGAUCAGAUACCGUC